AAAACUUUCAACAACGGAUCUCUUGGUUCCAGCAUCGAUGAAGAACGCAGCGAAAUGCGAUAACUAAUGCGAAUUGCAGAAUUCAGUGAAUCAUCGAGUCUUUGAACGCACAUUGCGCCCCUCGGUAUUCCGGGGGGCAUGCCUGUUCGAGCGUCAUU
This 158-nucleotide ribosomal RNA is filed under the name Flavocetraria cucullata. Its description in RNAcentral is "5.8S ribosomal RNA". It matches the Rfam family "5.8S ribosomal RNA". From Rfam's summary of the family: 5.8S ribosomal RNA (5.8S rRNA) is a component of the large subunit of the eukaryotic ribosome. RNAcentral also lists the same sequence under 2 other names. The record is from RNAcentral. Lineage: Eukaryota; Fungi; Ascomycota; Lecanoromycetes; Lecanorales; Parmeliaceae.